This 488-nucleotide ribosomal RNA is filed under the name uncultured bacterium. Its description in RNAcentral is "partial 16S ribosomal RNA". It matches the Rfam family "Bacterial small subunit ribosomal RNA", at positions 28 to 507 of the family's 1533-position model. The record is from RNAcentral.
GACGAACGCUGGCGGCGUGCUUAACACAUGCAAGUCGAACGAAAAUACCAAGCUUGCUUGGUUGAUUAGUGGCGAACGGGUGAGUAACACGUGAGUAACCUGCCCCUUACUUUCCUGGAUAACUGCUCGAAAGGGUAGCUAAUACGGGAUAUUCUGACCAGCCUGCAUGGGUUGGUUUGGAAAGGUUGUUUUUCUGGUAAGGGAUGGGCUCGCGGCCUAUCAGCUUGUUGGUGGGGUGAUGGCCUACCAAGGCUUUGACGGGUAGCCGGCCGGAGGGGGUGGACGGUCACACGGGGACUGAGAUACGGCCCAGACUCCUACGGGAGGCAGCAGUGGGGAAUAUUGCACAAUGGGCGCAAGCCUGAUGCAGCGACGCCGCGUGAGGGAUGAAGGCCUUCGGGUUGUAAACCUCUUUCGUCAGGGAACAAGGCACUGCUUUUUUGGUGGUGUUGAGGGUACCUGGAUAAGAAGCGCCGGCUAACUACGUG